AUUCCGGUUGAUCCUGCCGGAAGCCAUUGCUAUUGGGAUCCGAUUUAGCCAUGCUAGUCGCACGAGUUCAGACUCGUGGCGAAUAGCUCAGUAACACGUGGCCAAACUACCCUUCGGAACACAAUACCCUCGGGAAACUGAGGCUAAUAGUGUAUACCAUACCACCACUGGAAUGAGUGGUAUGCCAAACGCUCCGGCGCCGAAGGAUGUGGCUGCGGCCGAUUAGGUAGACGGUGGGGUAACGGCCCACCGUGCCAAUAAUCGGUAUGGGUCAUGAGAGUGAGAACCCAGAGACGGAAUCUGAGACAAGAUUCCGGGCCCUACGGGGCGCAGCAGGCGCGAAACCUUUACACUGCACGACAGUGCGAUAGGGGGAUCCCAAGUGCACAGGCAUAGCGCCUGUGCUUUUCGGUACCGUAAGGUGGUACCAGAAUAAGGGCUGGGCAAGACCGGUGCCAGCCGCCGCGGUAAUACCGGCAGCCCAAGUGAUGGCCGAUCUUAUUGGGCCUAAAGCGUCCGUAGCUACUUUCC
RNAcentral lists this ribosomal RNA (531 nucleotides) under uncultured archaeon. RNAcentral describes it as "bacterial SSU rRNA". It matches the Rfam family "Archaeal small subunit ribosomal RNA", at positions 1 to 533 of the family's 1478-position model. The record is from RNAcentral.